This 386-nucleotide ribosomal RNA is filed under the name uncultured bacterium. Its description in RNAcentral is "bacterial SSU rRNA". It matches the Rfam family "Bacterial small subunit ribosomal RNA", at positions 144 to 507 of the family's 1533-position model. The record is from RNAcentral.
CAACUAGAGGAAACUCUAGCUAAUGCCGGAUGAGACCACGAUCCCGUUCGGGGGUUGCGGCCAAAGAUGGCCUCUACUUGUAAGCUAUCGCUGAGGGAUGGCCUGCGGGCCAUUAGCUUGUUGGUGAGGUAACGGCUCACCAAGGCUGCGAUGGCUAGCUGGUCUGAGAGGAUGACCAGCCACACUGGGACUGAGACACGGCCCAGACUCCUACGGGAGCAGCAGUGGGGAAUAUUGCGCAAUGGGCGAAAGCCUGACGCAGCGACGCCGCGUGGGUGAUGAAGGCCUUCGGGUCGUAAAGCCCUGUCGCAGGGGAAGAAUAAGCAUCGGUAUAAUACGCCGGUGCCCUGACGGCACCCUGCAAGAAAGCACCGGCUAACUCCGUG